This 468-nucleotide ribosomal RNA is filed under the name uncultured bacterium. Its description in RNAcentral is "partial 16S ribosomal RNA". It matches the Rfam family "Bacterial small subunit ribosomal RNA", at positions 28 to 507 of the family's 1533-position model. The record is from RNAcentral.
GACGAACGCUGGCGGCGUGCUUAACACAUGCAAGUCGAACGGAAAGGCCCUGCUUUUGUGGGGUGCUCGAGUGGCGAACGGGUGAGUAACACGUGAGUAACCUGCCCUUGACUUUGGGAUAACUUCAGGAAACUGGGGCUAAUACCGGAUAGGAGCUCCUGCUGCAUGGUGGGGGUUGGAAAGUUUCGGCGGUUUGGGAUGGACUCGCGGCUUAUCAGCUUGUUGGUGGGGUAGUGGCUUACCAAGGCUUUGACGGGUAGCCGGCCUGAGAGGGUGACCGGCCACAUUGGGACUGAGAUACGGCCCAGACUCCUACGGGAGGCAGCAGUGGGGAAUAUUGCACAAUGGGCGGAAGCCUGAUGCAGCAACGCCGCGUGCGGGAGGACGGCCUUCGGGUUGUAAACCGCUUUCGCCUGUGACGAAGCGUGAGUGACGGUAACGGGUAAAGAAGCACCGGCUAACUACGUG